GGCGAUGACCGUUGCUUGCGUCUUGUCCGAUGAGUUUAUCGAGGACGAACGACAUUGCCUUCUUCUGUGUAGGAUCGUAUGGAUUUAUCCC
Molecule: small RNA, 91 nt
Filed under: Arabidopsis thaliana (thale cress)
Lineage: Eukaryota; Viridiplantae; Streptophyta; Magnoliopsida; Brassicales; Brassicaceae
Description: ATSL156540
Source: RNAcentral